GGGAGCGUGCAAAAUUUGUCAAAAGUGGCCUUUUAUUGUAAAACGACACGAGAGCUAAUGCUGCAUGCCCGUUGCUGCCUGAAUCAGAAGGGCACCAUCUUGGGGUGAGGGGAAGACAUCCCUAGAUGCUGGAUACAGGCCAUUCCUUAGCCUGGCUGCUUUUAUACCCUUAUAUUAUUUAAAGAAUCCACCUAUUAUGGUUUCAGCUGUAAUCAUCACGCAGAUGUCUACCAAAACUAGAUCUCUUUAGUGUCUUUUUUAACCUUUCCACACUCCAGGUACAUACGGGUACCUCUAGCUUCCUAUUAAGCAUUUCCUACUGAGUGCACCCUAACUUCAAACUCAAAAUGUUAUGUUUUGCUUCCAUUCUCUUCUUUCCUUCAUCUACCUAAAUACUUCUCUGUAUUAAGCUUUUAGAAAACCAACAUUUUCCAUUAUCACUCUCUUGCUUUAAUACUAUAUUUAGUAUUAAAUUUUGUCUCAGGACAAAAUUCAAACCAUUAAGUACCAUACUAGUCCCAACCCACUUUUCCAACAUUAUUUCCAAUUACUUGUCCGCUCAAACCUCCAUAAUGGUCUGCACCAGCCAGAUUUGCCUGCCCUCAAAGGCAUUCCACCUUUGUUCAGGCCUCUCUCCAUACCUGAAAUUGCCUUCCUCUACCAAAUUAGGAAAUAUCCAUCCUUCAAUUCCAACAUCUUUUGUGAAUAUUUACUACUACUAAGUUCCAGAGUAAUACCUUUUUUAAAUUAUUAUUUAUUUAUUUUUUUGAGACGGAGUUUCACUCUUGUUGCCCAGGCUGGAAUGCAAUGGCAUGAUCUCGGCUCACCGCGCCCUCCACCUCCUGGGUUCAAGCGAUUCAGCUGGAUCUCCAGAACUGUUCUCUGGAGGACCCUGGUCCAAACUUUCAUCAGGCACAUACCACUGUCAUCAUAGACCUGCAAGCAAACCCCCUCAAAGGUGACUUGGCCAACACCUUCCGUGGCUUUACUCAGCUCCAGACUCUGAUACUGCCACAACAUGUCAACUGUCCUGGAGGAAUUAAUGCCUGGAAUACUAUCACCUCUUAUAUAGACAACCAAAUCUGUCAAGGGCAAAAGAACCUUUGCAAUAACACUGGGGACCCAGAAAUGUGUCCUGAGAAUGGAUCUUGUGUACCUGAUGGUCCAGGUCUUUUGCAGUGUGUUUGUGCUGAUGGUUUCCAUGGAUACAAGUGUAUGCGCCAGGGCUCGUUCUCACUGCUUAUGUUCUUCGGGAUUCUGGGAGCCACCACUCUAUCCGUCUCCAUUCUGCUUUGGGCGACCCAGCGCCGAAAAGCCAAGACUUCAUGAACUACAUAGGUCUUACCAUUGACCUAAGAUCAAUCUGAACUAUCUUAGCCCAGUCAGGGAGCUCUGCUUCCUAGAAAGGCAUCUUUCGCCAGUGGAUUCGCCUCAAGGUUGAGGCCGCCAUUGGAAGAUGAAAAAUUGCACUCCCUUGGUGUAGACAAAUACCAGUUCCCAUUGGUGUUGUUGCCUAUAAUAAACACUUUUUUCUUUUU
This 1538-nucleotide long non-coding RNA is filed under the name Homo sapiens (human). RNAcentral's name for it is "HSALNT0029148". The record is from RNAcentral. Lineage: Eukaryota; Metazoa; Chordata; Mammalia; Primates; Hominidae.